AUGUCUAUUGAAAGGAGAGACGGUAACUCCCCAUGACGAGAAUGGAACACAAUAAAAUGGUGAAGGCACUACUUUUGUCAGGGCAUCACACUAGCAU
Molecule: small nuclear RNA, 97 nt
Organism: Nymphalis io (European peacock)
Lineage: Eukaryota; Metazoa; Arthropoda; Insecta; Lepidoptera; Nymphalidae
Source: RefSeq, a predicted model, not a curated record